AUAUAUGUGUGCUUCUCGGAGAAGACGUAGCUACUGGUGAUGGCUGAGAAGCAUGAGCAGCAUUACCUGCAGGGUGCCCGGCCCCGGGCAGCUCCUCGGCCCCCCGUGCUCCCCGCUCCUGCUUCGGGAAGGCACGGCCACAGGCACGGCACCCACGAGGCAGCACUCCCCGAGUCCGCUGUGCGUGCAGCAAGCAUCCUCAGGGAAUGGGAAGCUAGGAGAACAGGCCUGGGGCUUGGGGAAGGGCUCCUCGAGCAGGCGCUGCUCCCCGCUUGAGGUUGUCCAACGUUUCUGUACAAACGCAGCCAAGCAAGGCAAGAGAUCAAGGAAAUCCUCCUUAGAAAAGCACACACUUAUCUUCACUGCAUCUGAAAAACGAUUGCUUCCCUUCUUGAGAAGGAUUUAAGAAGUAAAAAUGUUUAAAAAUUGUUGAAAAUAUUCGGACACUGGUUGCGAAACAACUAUUUAAUCUACAACAGAGGUUUUUGUUGGAGGGGAACAACAGAGCUGAUGAUUUUCGAAAGAAUGCACCAAGUGUAUUUCCUUGGAAAACCCUCCUGGAAAGGCACACUACAUGCACUGAAAUGUAAUUCAUGUGAAUUGUAAUGCACUGAAAAUGUACUACAGAUAUUAAAACAUUUUAUAAAAGUGUGGGUAAAAAGCAUAAACCACUCCAUGUACGUACUCAUCUUCUAAUACAUCAAAUCGCAGUCUGGGCUAUGUCAGACCAGCUCAGACCUGUGGAUUAUCUGAUCAAUAGCAAACAAGAAUGAGAAUAUUUUCAGUUCACUGGAAAAAAGUCAAGGAACGGAAAAAUAAUAACGGAAGCAGUGAUUCAAUCAGAAGGAGCUGUAGUAGGUGGCACAAAGCUAUAGGACAAAUGUCAAGCACACAAACAAAUAGCACUGCUGAAGUGAAAAAGCAUGAGUUAUCAGAGUGUCUUUUAGAAGGGCUCCAUGGGUCAACCUCCUCCUCAAGCAGCGGUAUUGUUGAAAAUAAAAAAUUAUUCAAGGAAGUAAAAUCA
This 1024-nucleotide long non-coding RNA is filed under the name Anser brachyrhynchus (Pink-footed goose). RNAcentral describes it as "lncRNA (ENSABRG00000009535.1)". The record is from RNAcentral. Lineage: Eukaryota; Metazoa; Chordata; Aves; Anseriformes; Anatidae.